GACCCGUUCGGCCCCUUACGAGAAAUCANNNNNNNNNNNNNNNNNNNNGAANUUAAGCAUAUCAAUAAGCGGAGGNAAAGAAACCNACAGGGAUUGCCUCAGUAACGGCGAGUGAAGCGGCAACAGCUCAAAUUUGAAAUUUGGCCUCGGUCNGAGUUGUAAUUUGCAGAGGAAGUUUCGGGUGCGAUACCGGUNUAAGUUCNUUGGAACAGGACGUCAUAGAGGGUGAGAAUCCCGUAUGCGACUGGUGGUCAACCCCAUGUGAGGCCCCUUCGACGAGUUGAGUUGUUUGGGAAUGCAGCUCAAAAUGGGUGGUAAAUUUUAUUUAAAGGUAAAUACCGGCCAGAGACCGAUAGCGCACAAGUAGAGUGAUCGAAAGAUGAAAAGCACUUUGGAAAGAGAGUUAAACAGUACGUGAAAUUGUUGAAAGGGAAGCGCUUGCAACCAGAAUUGCUCGCGGGUGAUCCACCGCCAUUCGUGGUGGUUUAAUUGCCCGCGAUCAGGCCAACAUUGGUUUCUGGUGGGUGGAUACAGACCCCGGGAAUGUGGCUCCUUUCGGGGUGUGUUAUAGCCCGGGGUGCAAUGCAGCCGACCGGGACCGAGGACCGCGCUUCGGCUAGGAUGUUGGCGUAAU
This 634-nucleotide ribosomal RNA is filed under the name Baeomyces placophyllus. RNAcentral describes it as "partial large subunit ribosomal RNA". It matches the Rfam family "Eukaryotic large subunit ribosomal RNA", at positions 1 to 635 of the family's 3401-position model. The record is from RNAcentral. Lineage: Eukaryota; Fungi; Ascomycota; Lecanoromycetes; Baeomycetales; Baeomycetaceae.